CGACUCUUGGGAACGGAUAUCUCGGCUCUCGCAUCGAUGAAGAACGCAGCAAAAUGCGAUACUUGGUGGGAAUUGCAGAAUCCCGUGAACCAUCGAGUUUUUGAACGCAAGUUGCGCCCGAAGCCAUUAUGCUGAGGGCACGUCUGCCUGGGCGUCACG
Molecule: ribosomal RNA, 159 nt
Filed under: Syringa vulgaris (common lilac)
Lineage: Eukaryota; Viridiplantae; Streptophyta; Magnoliopsida; Lamiales; Oleaceae
Description: 5.8S ribosomal RNA
Rfam family: 5.8S ribosomal RNA
About the family: 5.8S ribosomal RNA (5.8S rRNA) is a component of the large subunit of the eukaryotic ribosome. It is transcribed by RNA polymerase I as part of the 45S precursor that also contains 18S and 28S rRNA. Functionally, it is thought that 5.8S rRNA may be involved in ribosome translocation.
Source: RNAcentral